AACGAACGCUGGCGGCAGGCUUAACACAUGCAAGUCGAGCGCCUCGCAAGAGGAGCGGCAGACGGGUGAGUAACGCGUGGGAAUCUACCCAUCCCUACGGAACAACUCCGGGAAACUGGAGCUAAUACCGUAUACGCCCUUCGGGGGAAAGAUUUAUCGGGGAUGGAUGAGCCCGCGUUGGAUUAGCUAGUUGGUGGGGUAAAGGCCUACCAAGGCGACGAUCCAUAGCUGGUCUGAGAGGAUGAUCAGCCACAUUGGGACUGAGACACGGCCCAAACUCCUACGGGAGGCAGCAGUGGGGAAUAUUGGACAAUGGGCGCAAGCCUGAUCCAGCCAUGCCGCGUGAGUGAUGAAGGUCUUAGGAUUGUAAAGCUCUUUCACCGGAGAAGAUAAUGACGGUAUCCGGAGAAGAAGCCCCGGCUAACUUCGUGCCAGCAGCCGCGGUAAUACGAAGGGGGCUAGCGUUGUUCGGAAUUACUGGGCGUAAAGCGCACGUAGGCGGAUAUUUAAGUCAGGGGUGAAAUCCCAGAGCUCAACUCUGGAACUGCCUUUGAUACUGGGUAUCUUGAGUAUGGAAGAGGUAAGUGGAAUUGCGAGUGUAGAGGUGAAAUUCGUAGAUAUUCGCAGGAACACCAGUGGCGAAGGCGGCUUACUGGUCCAUUACUGACGCUGAGGUGCGAAAGCGUGGGGAGCCAACAGGAUUAGAUACCCUGGUAGUCCACGCCGUAAACGAUGAAUGUUAGCCGUCGGCAAGUUUACUUGUCGGUGGCGCACGUAACGCAUUAAACAUUCCGCCUGGGGAGUACGGUCGCAAGAUUA
Molecule: ribosomal RNA, 819 nt
Filed under: Neorhizobium galegae
Lineage: Bacteria; Pseudomonadati; Pseudomonadota; Alphaproteobacteria; Hyphomicrobiales; Rhizobiaceae
Description: bacterial SSU rRNA
Rfam family: Bacterial small subunit ribosomal RNA
Source: RNAcentral